AUUGAACGCUGGCGGCAGGCCUAACACAUGCAAGUCGAACGAGUGGCGGACGGGUGAGUAAUGUCUGGGAAACUGCCCGAUGGAGGGGGAUAACUACUGGAAACGGUAGCUAAUACCGCAUACCAUCGGAUGUGCCCAGAUGGGAUUAGCUAGUAGGUGGGGUAAUGGCUCACCUAGGCGACGCUCCCUAGCUGGUCUGAGAGGAUGACCAGCAAGACGGGAACUGAGAAACGGUCAAGACUCCUACGGGAGGCAGCAGUGGGGAAUAUUGCACAAUGGGGGAAAGCCGGAUGAAGCCAUGCCGAGUGUAUGAAGAAGGCCUUCGGGUUGUAAAGUACUUUCAGCGAGGAGGCGUUACUCGAAGAAGAAGCACCGGCUAACUCCGUGCCAGCAGCCGCGGUAAUAC
Molecule: ribosomal RNA, 406 nt
Filed under: uncultured bacterium
Lineage: Bacteria
Description: partial 16S ribosomal RNA
Rfam family: Bacterial small subunit ribosomal RNA
Source: RNAcentral